AGAGUUUGAUCAUGGCUCAGGAUGAACGCUAGGCUACAGGCUUAACACAUGCAAGUCGAGGGGUAGCAGGGUAGCAAUACCGCUGACGACCGGCGCACGGGUGAGUAACACGUAUCCAACCUUCCCAUAACUCAGGGAUAGCCUUUCGAAAGAAAGAUUAAUACCUGAUAGUACUUUUUCAAGGCAUCUUGAGAAGUUAAAGAUUUAUUGGUUAUGGAUGGGGAUGCGUUCCAUUAGAUAGUUGGUGAGGUAACGGCUCACCAAGUCUUCGAUGGAUAGGGGUUCUGAGAGGAAGGUCCCCACAUUGGUACUGAGACACGGACCAAACUCCUACGGGAGGCAGCAGUGAGGAAUAUUGGUCAAUGGGCGAGAGCCUGAACCAGCCAAGUAGCGUGAAGGAUGAAGGUCCUAUGGAUUGUAAACUUCUUUUAUAGUAGAAUAAAGUGAUCCACGUGUGGAUUUUUGUAUGUAUACUAUGAAUAAGGAUCGGCUAACUCCGUGCCAGCCGCUGC
Molecule: ribosomal RNA, 512 nt
Filed under: uncultured bacterium
Lineage: Bacteria
Description: bacterial SSU rRNA
Rfam family: Bacterial small subunit ribosomal RNA
Source: RNAcentral